Molecule: unclassified non-coding RNA, 348 nt
Filed under: soil metagenome
Description: partial contains 5.8S ribosomal RNA, internal transcribed spacer 2, and large subunit ribosomal RNA
Rfam family: 5.8S ribosomal RNA (bases 1-120)
Source: RNAcentral
GAUGAAGAACGGAGCGAAAUGCGAUAAGUAAUGUGAAUUGCAGAAUUCAGUGAAUCAUCGAAUCUUUGAACGCACAUUGCGCCCGCCAGUAUUCUGGCGGGCAUGCCUGUCUGAGCGUCAUUUCAACCCUCAUGCCCCUAGGGCGUGGUGUUGGGGAUCGGCCAAAGCCCGCGAGGGACGGCCGGCCCCUAAAUCUAGUGGCGGACCCGUCGUGGCCUCCUCUGCGAAGUAGUGAUAUUCCGCAUCGGAGAGCGACGAGCCCCUGCCGUUAAACCCCCAACUUUCCAAGGUUGACCUCAGAUCAGGUAGGAAUACCCGCUGAACUUAAGCAUAUCAAUAAGCGGAGGA